Molecule: long non-coding RNA, 302 nt
Organism: Talpa occidentalis (Iberian mole)
Lineage: Eukaryota; Metazoa; Chordata; Mammalia; Eulipotyphla; Talpidae
Exons: 3
Source: RefSeq, a predicted model, not a curated record
GAUCACUUGAAGGGAAGUAAGAUCCAGAUGAAGUUAAGGAAAAAAAAGGUUGUAGAUGACGUGAUACUGAGUCAACUAGAAAUCUGGCAACUAGAGGACGAAAACUGUCUUAAUGAAAUGUGAAGUCAUAGAUUCACUCACCAAACUGGGAAGUCAAGCAGUUCAGAAUGUGGAGCUCAAACAAAAUCACCAGGUAAUGGAAACUGCCAACUCAAGUUUUAGUGGUACCCAUGUUCAGUCAGCAAAUUUGAAAGUCAACAGAAUCUUGUGACUAAAUUUUCUCAAAUAAAGUGUGAACAGAA